This is a long non-coding RNA of Papaver somniferum (opium poppy), 2435 nucleotides long. RefSeq lists it as uncharacterized. The transcript has 9 exons. The record is from RefSeq and is a predicted model, not a curated record. NCBI's taxonomy places the organism in Eukaryota, Viridiplantae, Streptophyta, Magnoliopsida, Ranunculales, Papaveraceae.
GUAGUAUAUAAGAUAUUUGCUUUAUGCGUAAUAUUAUGUUCUAUAUAUUCAUGAGCUGUGUAACCAGAAUUGAUAUGAUUUAUGGUAAUAAUAAUAAUUAUCUUCUCGAGCCUAUAUUCGUGAAGAUCAAUAACUCAAACCCUAGAUAUCGUUAUCUUCUGUAAAUUUAAUGAUUCCGGAAGAUGUUCAUGGUGCCAACUUGAAGUCUGUUUCUCUAGUCAUGAACUAAUUAAUCCUGCAGGAGAUUGAGGUAGUUUAUGGUGUUGAUGAUGAUAACUUGAGGUGGCUAGCUCAAUUGGUGCAAGGUUUGUUGGUGAAGCUUGCAGAUGAAGGGGUAAGUAUAAAGCCGUCUCCAUGCUUUUGCACUUCUAGGCCGUUGUAGGCUGCAGAUGAAGGAGUAAGUAUAAGGCCAACUGUAACUUCUAUGUGUGAGUUUUAUGUUUAUAUCUUUUGUUUUACUGAUUUUGCAAUUCGUUAUCCUGUGUAAGAGCAACAAUAUAACAAAAAGGAGUGUAUUUUUCUUCUAAUUGUGGGUGGUUGACGCACUCAGUCGAUUAGCGUGUUUCCCAGAUCAGAAACCUAAUUGAGCUGAUGUUGUGGCAGGAUCAGCUGCGUGUCUCUUUUGCGUUUGUUCCCAAAGAAGAGAUAGUAUGAUCGCCCGUCAUUCGAACUAACUGCAAUCCAGGUACGUCCAUUGCCUUUUGAACAGCAAACUGCUUGAGUUUUGUUUUAUGAUGGAUAUGUAUUCUGCCAGGCAACUGCUUUUAUUUCCGCUAGAAUUUAGGCGAAACCAACAACUCCUGUUUGAUAAGGUAUGUACAAUUUGCAAAUGUAUCUUCUCUGGGUUAAUGAUUGCCUGAUACGAGCUCGGACUUGCUUUUGAGUUGCCUAGUAUUCUUAUUCAUAAUCCAGCUUCUAAAGCCACCAAAAAACAGACAGGUAAACUCUUCUUAUUUUUGAUGUCAUGACCAAAAAACAGACAGGUAAACUCUUCUUAUUUUUGAUGUCAUGUUUUGGUAGUUGUGGUAUUAACAAUUACUCUCAUUUGCGGUUUUCUUUGUUUAGAAUGAGUCUUCAUUUUCUUAUGUUGCACAUCCCUUAUGUCGAUAUUAUCGAGUCCCUGGCUGCAUAUAGAUCUUUCAUAGUGUAAUUUUUUCUAAGACUACGCCAGGUAUAAGGUACUCUAGUUUUGGUUACUUUUUGCCUGUCCAGAACCAUAUGAAACCUGAAAUUUGUUGUUUAAUUGAUGCACCUAUUGUCAGCAAGCACAGGCUGUUGGGGAGGAGGUGCCAAAUGACAGCUUUUGCGAUCGUGCUUACAGAAAUAUGUUGUGAGUUCAAGACAGUGACCGUAGUUGCCUUGGUUACCAGCACCAGCAGAAAGAAUACUAUUUCCUGCCAAGAGAUUUUUGAAGAAGUCGAAGACUUAGCUCCUGAAAUACAGCUGCUCAAGGCUGUCAGAAGCAUUUGAAAUCUAAUACGCGUGUUCGUUGCGAUUCCUACAGUGAGUAAAAGUUACUGUGGUUUCGUGCUCCUCUGGUAAUGUCGUAGCAAUAAAUUAGUCAUUGGUUUCUUUAAUGGGAAAUAGCAACCGUUGAAGGUCAAAUCGUUGUUAAGUCUGUUCUUGCCAAAGUGGGAAUGCCUCCGUAACUUGAAAUUUCAGCUCUCUGCAUUUAGUUUUGUGUACAUGUGUCCAGGCCUCCUAUGUCGGCUCGUGCAUUUUUAAUACUUGUUAUUUUGCCUCAUUGUGUUUUGUCAGUCACAGCCCAUUUUCAGAUGUGUUCCCAAAGAAAGCAGUGGAGAUCCUUAAUGAAACUGAACUAGAGGAAUAUUCAUCUUAUGACGCACAUUUCUGUCACUUCGGUACAAUCUUUUCAGGUGGUAGGUCUUCUUCGUGAUGAUGUCUUAGAUGAUGCCGAUACAAGGCGUUGUCAUCCUUCUCUUAGUCUUAAUGGGGAAUAAGCUAUUGUCAGCGAACACAGGCUGUUGGAAUCGUACUUGGAGCUAAUACUGUUGACAAUUUAGGCUAAGAAUGUAGUUGACAGUUAAGGCUAACUGCAACAGGAUAAUAGGCGAUGACUCGAGAGUACCCUUAAUAAUAUCCUUCAUGUGAAGAAUCUCUUCUUUCAAGUGCCAAGCCAUCUCCAGAGUUUGGUGGCCUUGUAAAACUUGUUAUUUAUUGACUCAAGUAUGUUGUUCUUCACUGCCUUGUCGUACCUUGGAAGAUGAACUAGCUCCCGGAUUUUUUUGUUUGCAAAGGAAGUUACCGAGUUUGAUCCACAAGGAAAUUUUAUAAACCCCUCUACUUAAUACUGAUCUCAUAAGCCUACUGUUAUUCUAAUGAUUCAGCAUGAAAAUAGUGUGUUCCAUAUGGAUACAAAUAUACAGAUUUUGUAAUUUUGUUUAUUCUUUUAAUUAUAUAGUACUUUUAUUUUU